Non-coding RNA from Ictidomys tridecemlineatus (thirteen-lined ground squirrel), 435 nucleotides. NCBI's taxonomy places the organism in Eukaryota, Metazoa, Chordata, Mammalia, Rodentia, Sciuridae. The record is from RefSeq and is a predicted model, not a curated record.
CCAGGUGAACCUUGAUUGCAGGUUGUAAAAAACCUGAGCAGGACCCAGUGAAGCCAUGUGGCUCCCGUGGGUGGCUCCAUGUGGGUGGCUCCCGACUCACAGAAGCUACACCAUAAUAAGUGGACCCUGUGGAUAUGAUAGUGUGGAAGUGAUUCUUCAACUUCCUGUCUCCAGGAAUGCCUGCGCUUGGAACCCAUCCCCUGUGCCACAAGGAAGUCAGUGGAGAGGCCUACAUGAGCAGGACCUGAUGCCCCAUCUCAGCUGAGCUCCAAGAAGCCAAGCCCAAGUCGACCUCACUCUUUCUAGUGGACUGCAGUCCAGCAGGUCAGUAAUGAAGGAUGCUCUGCUUAUCUCCGUUCCCCAACCUUGAGAGUCCACUCUUCCUGAAGCACAACUGGGACCAGCCUCUUCGUUAAAAAGCAAAAACUAAACCAA